This 465-nucleotide ribosomal RNA is filed under the name uncultured bacterium. Its description in RNAcentral is "partial 16S ribosomal RNA". It matches the Rfam family "Bacterial small subunit ribosomal RNA", at positions 338 to 795 of the family's 1533-position model. The record is from RNAcentral.
CCUACGGGAGGCAGCAGUGGGGAAUAUUGCGCAAUGGGCGAAAGCCUGACGCAGCGACGCCGCGGGAGGGAGGAAGAUCUUCGGAUCGUAAACCUCUGUCAGCAGGGAAGAACGGUCACUGUGCUAAUCAGCAGUGAAUUGACGGUACCUGCAAAGGAAGACCCGGCUAACUCCGUUCCAGCAGCCGCGGUAAGACGGAGGGUGCGAGCGUUAAUCGGAAUUACUGGGCGGAAAGCGCUCGUAGGCGGUAUGUCAAGUCAAGGGUGAAAUCCCCGCGCUCAACGUGGGAACUGCCUUUGAAACUGGCAAACUGGAGAGUGUGAGAGGAUAGUGGAAUUCCAGGUGUAGGAGUGAAAUCCGUAGAUAUCUGGAGGAACAUCAGUGGCGAAGGCGACUAUCUGGCACAUAACUGACGCUGAGGAGCGAAAGCGUGGGUAGCAAACAGGAUUAGAUACCCUAGUAGUC